GGGAUGGGUAUCCAAAGGUUCCAGAUCUGCUCUCUCCUUUCCUAGCCAGUCAGGAAGAAUUUCUUUAGGGGAGAAAAACCAUUUAGGGGAAGAUAAUCAACACAUGUCCUAAGGAAGCUACGUGCCUGUUUCCAAAGGACCAACACUCCUCACCUCUCCCCACCCUUUCUACUGCUCCCCCCCCAUCUCUCCCCCACCCCUCUCCACUGCUCCACCUCUCCCCACUGCUCUAGCAGCUGCUGUUCAGAAGCCAGGACAGAUGACCUUGACUUUGACCUGAAAACCACUCUCCCACCCCCUGCAGCCCAUUUCCUCAGGGCUGCCUGGGUUGAAAGAAAGGUUUAAGAAAUAUCUUCAAAAAGAGCUUGUUUUAUUGAUGAGCUUGGCUUGUUAGAAACCACCUCAGGAAGCUCUUGGCAAACUCAGAAGGGGAUGAGCGAAAGCCCGUGCCCACCCGCACUACAGAGAGCGACUGUGGAGAUAAUUGGAGAAGAUGGAUCUAUCUGCAAAGACACAAAAGGUGCUGACUGGUGAUCAUGCUUGCACUGGGGCCUUUGCACAGCCUAGAUGGCUAUCAGGGAGUCAGUAGGAUUAUUGCCAGCAGCAGUCCAGCUGCGCCCUUACGGAAGACAGCCUAGAACCCAAGUGCUUCCCACGGCAUUCCUAUGCACGUCACUGAGAAAACUCAAAUCCAUACAAAGUGAAUAAAUUGUAAAUGACAAUAAUAAUAGUAAUAAUAAACCCUGCUCUCUAUAAAAAAAGAGAGAGA
This is a long non-coding RNA of Meriones unguiculatus (Mongolian gerbil), 769 nucleotides long. RefSeq lists it as uncharacterized. The record is from RefSeq and is a predicted model, not a curated record. The transcript has 3 exons. Lineage: Eukaryota; Metazoa; Chordata; Mammalia; Rodentia; Muridae.